RNAcentral lists this ribosomal RNA (402 nucleotides) under uncultured prokaryote. RNAcentral describes it as "bacterial SSU rRNA". It matches the Rfam family "Bacterial small subunit ribosomal RNA", at positions 355 to 774 of the family's 1533-position model. The record is from RNAcentral.
UAGGGAAUAUUGGACAAUGGGCGCAAGCCUGAUCCAGCCAUGCCGCGUGAGUGAUGAAGGCCUUAGGGUUGUAGAGCUCUUUUAUCCGGGACGAUAAUGACGGUACCGGAGGAAUAAGCCCCGGCUAACUUCGUGCCAGCAGCCGCGGUAAUACGAAGGGGGCUAGCGUUGCUCGGAAUCACUGGGCGUAAAGGGCGCGUAGGCGGCGUUUUAAGUCGGGGGUGAAAGCCUGUGGCUCAACCACAGAAUGGCCUUCGAUACUGGGACGCUUGAGUAUGGUAGAGGUUGGUGGAACUGCGAGUGUAGAGGUGAAAUUCGUAGAUAUUCGCAAGAACACCGGUGGCGAAGGCGGCCAACUGGACCAUUACUGACGCUGAGGCGCGAAAGCGUUGGGAGCAAACA